UAUGUGAUUUAAGUUUGGGGGAGGGCUCAGGAAGUGUGUGUUGCAUUGUAUACAAUCUUGAGUCUGCAUUCAUCUAAGGCAUAGAAAAAACCAAAAAAAU
Molecule: small RNA, 100 nt
Filed under: Arabidopsis thaliana (thale cress)
Lineage: Eukaryota; Viridiplantae; Streptophyta; Magnoliopsida; Brassicales; Brassicaceae
Description: ATSL035550
Source: RNAcentral